UACGUAGGGCGCAAGCGUUAUCCGGAAUUCUUGGGCGUAAAGAGCUCGUAGGCGGUUUGUCGCGUCUGCCGUGAAAGUCCGGGGCUCAACUCCGGAUCUGCGGUGGGUACGGGCAGACUAGAGUGAUGUAGGGGAGACUGGAAUUCCUGGUGUAGCGGUGAAAUGCGCAGAUAUCAGGAGGAACACCGAUGGCGAAGGCAGGUCUCUGGGCAUUAACUGACGCUGAGGAGCGAAAGCAUGGGGAGCGAACGGG
Molecule: ribosomal RNA, 253 nt
Filed under: uncultured bacterium
Lineage: Bacteria
Description: partial 16S ribosomal RNA
Rfam family: Bacterial small subunit ribosomal RNA
Source: RNAcentral